GAUGAACGCUAGCUACAGGCUUAACACAUGCAAGUCGAGGGGCAGCAUGGUCUUAGCUUGCUAAGGCCGAUGGCGACCGGCGCACGGGUGAGUAACACGUAUCCAACCUGCCGUCUACUCUUGGACAGCCUUCUGAAAGGAAGAUUAAUACAAGAUGGCAUCAUGAGUCCACAUGUUCACAUGAUUAAAGGUAUUCCGGUAGACGAUGGGGAUGCGUUCCAUUAGAUAGUAGGCGGGGUAACGGCCCACCUAGUCUUCGAUGGAUAGGGGUUCUGAGAGGAAGGUCCCCCACAUUGGAACUGAGACACGGUCCAAACUCCUACGGGAGGCAGCAGUGAGGAAUAUUGGUCAAUGGGCGAGAGCCUGAACCAGCCAAGUAGCGUGAAGGAUGACUGCCCUAUGGGUUGUAAACUUCUUUUAUAAAGGAAUAAAGUCGGGUAUGCAUACCCGUUUGCAUGUACUUUAUGAAUAAGGAUCGGCUAACUCCGUGCCAGCAGCCGCGGUAAUACGGAGGAUCCGAGCGUUAUCCGGAUUUAUUGGGUUUAAAGGGAGCGUAGAUGGAUGUUUAAGUCAGUUGUGAAAGUUUGCGGCUCAACCGUAAAAUUGCAGUUGAUACUGGAUAUCUUGAGUGCAGUUGAGGCAGGCGGAAUUCGUGGUGUAGCGGUGAAAUGCUUAGAUAUCACGAAGAACUCCGAUUGCGAAGGCAGCCUGCUAAGCUGCAACUGACAUUGAGGCUCGAAAGUGUGGGUAUCAAACAGGAUUAGAUACCCUGGUAGUCCACACGGUAAACGAUGAAUACUCGCUGUUUGCGAUAUACAGCAAGCGGCCAAGCGAAAGCGUUAAGUAUUCCACCUGGGGAGUACGCCGGCAACGGUGAAACUCAAAGGAAUUGACGGGGGCCCGCACAAGCGGAGGAACAUGUGGUUUAAUUCGAUGAUACGCGAGGAACCUUACCCGGGCUUAAAUUGCAGAUGAAUUACGGUGAAAGCCGUAAGCCGCAAGGCAUCUGUGAAGGUGCUGCAUGGUUGUCGUCAGCUCGUGCCGUGAGGUGUCGGCUUAAGUGCCAUAACGAGCGCAACCCUUGUUGUCAGUUACUAACAGGUUCUGCUGAGGACUCUGACAAGACUGCCAUCGUAAGAUGUGAGGAAGGUGGGGAUGACGUCAAAUCAGCACGGCCCUUACGUCCGGGGCUACACACGUGUUACAAUGGGGGGGUACAGAGGGCCGCUACCACGCGAGUGGAUGCCAAUCCCAAAAACCUCUCUCAGUUCGGACUGGAGUCUGCAACCCGACUCCACGAAGCUGGAUUCGCUAGUAAUCGCGCAUCAGCCACGGCGCGGUGAAUAUGUUCCCGGGCCUUGUACACACCGCCCGUCAAGCCAUGGGAGCCGGGGGUACCUGAAGUGCGUAACCGCGAGGAGCGCCCUAGGGUAAAACUGGUGACUGGGGCU
RNAcentral lists this ribosomal RNA (1451 nucleotides) under uncultured bacterium. RNAcentral's name for it is "bacterial SSU rRNA". It matches the Rfam family "Bacterial small subunit ribosomal RNA". The record is from RNAcentral.